This is a long non-coding RNA of Solanum pennellii, 3220 nucleotides long. RefSeq lists it as uncharacterized. NCBI's taxonomy places the organism in Eukaryota, Viridiplantae, Streptophyta, Magnoliopsida, Solanales, Solanaceae. The transcript is spliced from 2 exons. The record is from RefSeq and is a predicted model, not a curated record.
UAAGGACUCCUCAUUUCCCCUCGCCGCCUUGUCUCCUCCUUUACCUCGCCAUCUCUUAUUCACUUGAGAUCUUCUGUCUCCUUGGACUAAUCCAUGUCUCCGCCUUCCUCCAUUGUGGGUUAUCAAUAUUAUGGUGAUGUUGGUUAUGGAUUCUAGUAUGUCAGCUAACAAGAGUUCUAUAAUUCAGGCUCGAUGUUCCUUGUUGGAUCUUGUCUUCUGAGAGAUGUUGCGUGCGGCUUUUGGAAAUUUAAAAUCCGAUAUCCUCCAUAAAUUCUCCGAUCCAAGUGGCAGAUAAGUUUUCAUAUUUAUACCUUUUCUUGCUGAGGGAGGGAGCGACAGUACGAUAAACUACCAAAGAAACAAGGGUAAACCAAUCAAAUCAUGACGUUAUAGGUUUGCUUGCACGGAUAUGACUUUCCUCAGUUAGUUUGAGCGAAUUUGUUUUUUUACUCUUCCUUCCCCGCUUAAUAGCCACAUUUUUAAAAAAAGCAAAUGAUAGGAAUUUUUUUUAAUUUUAUAAGGCAAAUUUCGUGUUUUAUUCAAAAUCCAAAACAAAAUUACCCAUCCUGACACUUCUGCGGGCAUGACCCAACCUACACUUAGCCCAACAUUUAAAAAGAAAACAACUGAUAAGGACAACAAAUAAAAUAUGAUAGAUCCACUCAGUACGCCUAUAAAUUCUCCAUCCAAAUGGCAUAUAUAAAUUUUCAAAUCUAUACCUUCUCCUGUUGGAGGGGCGACGAUACGAUAAACUCCCAAAGAAACUAGGGUAAAUCAAUGAGAUCAUGACAUUGUAGGUGCUUGCAAUGGGACGGAUGCAACUUUCCUCAGUUUGUUUGAGUGGCGUACGUCCCCCUCCCCCCCCCCAUAUCUUUAGUCUUUAGGGUCAUUUUAGUUUCUUAUAAGUAUGAUUCCCCACAACAAACGUGUUGCAGAUUCGGGCUCCAAUUCAUAAUCAAAAUGAAUGAUGGAUUGGUUGUUUGUGUGCUAGAAAGUCAUGACUGUUCAAAAUGAUGGAUUUGGAAUCAAUUUAUUGGUUUUUGAAACCACUUACGUGGGAUACGUGAGCUUUAUGGUAAAACGGCAGAGAAAAGAGACAUGGAAAACUUUAACCAACAUUCUCAUGGGAAAGCAAGGUUAAAGUUCAAGAUGAAACUAUGAAAUAGAGCUAGAUAUUGGCAAGAAUCCUAGAAGCCUAUCCUGUCUCGAUUAGCGAACAUCACAUGAUCAUCAACCCAUGACAGCACAGUUAUACACAAAGCAUCCAGAUCGCUUUCAUCAAAUCAAGUUCCACUGAGGUCCUUCAAUUGGAACCGAUAAACUCACUUUGAAAUGCCCUACACCCAUGGCUCUAGGCUCUCACAUUACAAUUAGCCUAUCACCACAAGCUCAAAAAGCCAAAUCUCAACCAUUCAUUGAAGCUGCUCUUUCAGGUAAUCUUCUUAUGGUGACCCGUGCUUUAAUUUGCUUGUCAUACUUCCUCACCUCUAUGUUAGCAUAAUCAGCAGAAUACAAAUCAUUAUUUACAACUGCCACCAAUGGAGGUGCUUCGAAUGUAGCAGGCAUAUCACCCCUAGCUGUAGCUCAAACACGAGACAUGCUUGAAAAUUUAGUCCAUUUUCCUGUUUCAAAUAAUAUUAGUCUCCAUAAUGUGUCAAUAGCACCUUUGACAACUCUGUUUUUCCAAUGCCUGCAAUUACAUAAAAAUUUCUAUCCACAAAUACCACAAAACACAUUUUACGCUGCUUGGUGAAGUGUUCGAGGCUUCGAACUCUAAAUUGUGAACUUCUGCUGAGCUAAGUAUUUUGACCCCAUGAGUCGCAACCGCCAGCUAGAAUGGAAAUCUCCCCAAAACUGGCAGAGCCAAACAAACGUCUUGGUGCAUUCUAGAUGACCAAGUGUUUUUCGUAUACUGUAAAGAUAAAUGACAUGUAUAAAAUCACCUUUCCAUACACAAUCAGCUCUAUCCUAACUGCCAAAGAGCUGCUUGUGUUUGGAAAGGAGAUCUUAUUUAUGUCAUGUAUCGUUACAGUAUACUGACAAACACUUGGUUAUUUGGAAUACAAAUGAAUGCACCAAGGUGCUUGUUUGGCUCUUCCUGCUUUGAGGAGAUUCCCAUUCUAGAUGACGGUUGUGACUAAUCACGGGGGCAAUAUACUUAGCUCAACAGAACUUAACAAUUCAUAGACUAGAACGUGAAAAACUUUACCAAGCAUGAACACGUGGCAUAGGAUGUGUUCUGCGGUACUUUUAUGGAUAAAAAGUUGUAUGUAAUUGGUGGCAUUGGAUGAAAAGAGUCGUCAAAGGCGCUAUUGACACACUAUGGAGACAAAUAUGAACUGAAAAUAGACUGAAAUCUUGAUCAUGUCUCCUGUUCGAGCUAGAGCUGGAACACCUGCUACAUUCGAAGCACCUCCUUUGGUGACAGUUGUAAAUAACGGAUUUGUAUGUUGUUGAUUAUGCUUACGUGGAAGCAAGGAAGUAUGACAAGCAAAACAAAGCACGGGCUAUAAUAGGAAGAUUGCCUGAAAGAGCAGCUUCUAUAAGUUAAUCAUAUAUUGUGUGAUGGAUAGUGUAAGAGCCAUAUAGGUUCAAGGGCCAUUUGGAAGCACAAAGUACAAUUCUAUUUACUUUUUCAUCAGUUUGUCAUACGAUUCGUUUGUUUGUGUAUACGAUUCUGUAUACACAAAACUUGAGACAAUGAUCAUUCAACAGUGCAAGAAAAGUAAUGCAACAAAUAGGUGUAAUGAAAUUUUGAAUGAGCUGAUAAUAAGCUAUCAUCGAGCUUCACCAAAUGCAGAAAUCAAGUAUACUAAGACUGAUUCAAGUGCGAAUUACGAGUUAUUGGUCAAAGGAUCUGGGAUCAUUCAGAUCAGAAGAACUCUCCGAGUUUGUAACAAGACAAAUUAUACUAAGUUGCGCCCACCCUUCACUUUUGAUGCAGCACCCGUCUCGGAUUCUUCAAAGAUACACUAUUUUUGGCGAAUCCGACAACCACCUAUUGACAUUUUUGAAGAGUCCGAGCAACAUAGAAACUAUAUAACCAAGAAGAAUAAUCAUUGUAAUCCAAGGGGACUGGACUAGCUAGGCAUUAUAUCGGUGAUCUGAACUAGUAUAAAAAAAAUUGUGUCUACUAUCUAUUAUUCUAUCAUUAGCUAUAUAUAUAUAUAUAUAUAUAUAUAUAUAUAUUUGUUUAUCGAAUCUGCAGGAAAUUCGACUA